RNAcentral lists this ribosomal RNA (462 nucleotides) under uncultured bacterium. RNAcentral's name for it is "partial 16S ribosomal RNA". It matches the Rfam family "Bacterial small subunit ribosomal RNA", at positions 28 to 507 of the family's 1533-position model. The record is from RNAcentral.
GACGAACGCUGGCGGCGUGCUUAACACAUGCAAGUCGAACGGAAAGGCCCUUCGGGGUACUCGAGUGGCGAACGGGUGAGUAACACGGGGGUGAUCUGCCCUGCACUUUGGGAUAAGCCUGGGAAACUGGGUCUAAUACCGAAUAGGACCACGCGCUACAUGGUGUGUGGUGGAAAGCUUUUGCGGCGUGGGAUGGGCCCGCGGCCUAUCAGCUUGUUGGUGGGGUAAUGGCCGACCAAGGCGAGGACGGGUAGCCGGCCUGAGAGGGUGACCGGCCACACUGGGCCUGCGAUACGGCCCAGACUCCUACGGGAGGCAGCAGUGGGGAAUAUUGCACAAUGGGCGCAAGCCUGAUGCAGCGACGCCGCGUGAGGGAUGACGGCCUUCGGGUUGUAAACCUCUUUCAAUAGGGACGAAGCGCAAGUGACGGUACCUAUAGAAGAAGCACCGGCCAACUACGUG